This 458-nucleotide ribosomal RNA is filed under the name uncultured bacterium. RNAcentral's name for it is "partial 16S ribosomal RNA". It matches the Rfam family "Bacterial small subunit ribosomal RNA", at positions 338 to 795 of the family's 1533-position model. The record is from RNAcentral.
CCUACGGGUGGCAGCAGUGAGGAAUAUUGGUCAAUGGGCGAGAGCCUGAACCAGCCAAGUCGCGUGAGGGAGUACUGCCCUAUGGGUUGUAAACCUCUUUUGUCGGGGAGCAAAAGCCGGACGUGUCCGGCUGUGAGAGUACCCGAAGAAAAAACAUCGGCUAACUCCGUGCCAGCAGCCGCGGUAAUACGGAGGAUGCGAGCGUUAUCCGGAUUUAUUGGGUUUAAAGGGUGCGCAGGCGGAUUUUUAAGUCAGCGGUAAAAUCGUGGGGCUCAACCCCAUCCAGCCGUUGAAACUGGGGAUCUAGAGUGUGCGAGAGGUAUGCGGAAUGCGUGGUGUAGCGGUGAAAUGCAUAGAUAUCACGCAGAACCCCGAUUGCGAAGGCAGCAUACCGGUGCACAACUGACGCUCAGGCACGAAAGCGUGGGUAUCGAACAGGAUUAGAUACCCUAGUAGUC